RNAcentral lists this transfer RNA (76 nucleotides) under bacterium. RNAcentral's name for it is "tRNA-Lys". It matches the Rfam family "tRNA". Rfam says of the family: Transfer RNA (tRNA) molecules are approximately 80 nucleotides in length. Their secondary structure includes four short double-helical elements and three loops (D, anti-codon, and T loops). The record is from RNAcentral. RNAcentral also lists the same sequence under 1 other name.
GUCUCCUUAGCUCAGUUGGUAGAGCAACUGACUCUUAAUCAGUGGGUCUAGAGUUCGAAUCUCUAAGGGGACACCA